This 225-nucleotide ribosomal RNA is filed under the name uncultured Flavobacterium sp. RNAcentral describes it as "partial 16S ribosomal RNA". It matches the Rfam family "Bacterial small subunit ribosomal RNA", at positions 568 to 792 of the family's 1533-position model. The record is from RNAcentral. Lineage: Bacteria; Pseudomonadati; Bacteroidota; Flavobacteriia; Flavobacteriales; Flavobacteriaceae.
UCCGUAGGCGGUCUUAUAAGUCAGUGGUGAAAGCCCAUCGCUCAACGAUGGAACUGCCAUUGAUACUGUAGGACUUGAAUGCUUGUGAAGUAACUAGAAUAUGUAGUGUAGCGGUGAAAUGCUUAGAUAUUACAUGGAAUACCAAUUGCGAAGGCAGGUUACUACUUGUGGAUUGACGCUGAUGGACGAAAGCGUGGGGAGCGAACAGGAUUAGAUACCCUUGUA